ACGUAGCAGGCUCGCUGGAGGACCUCCCACGCCGGUAACAUACCGGGUGAUGUCUUACCAAGGCGCGAAGAGCUGAGUCGGUGGCAGCUAAUCACAGUGACAGCUCCCGCCGGGGAGGUGAAGUCCGGACUUAGAUUUCGUGCUCGCAGAGCCGGGGUAGCCAGCGCGGAGCGGAAGUCCAGCGGCUCGCGCGACGGUGAAAGUCCUCUGUAGCUAGGCCCACCCAACUCCCAGCUACCAUGACAUGACUUCUGUGUCCAGUUCUGGAGUCUGCUUUGCCCAUGCACAAAGCAGGUCGGUCAGAAGGGCCCAGGAUUUACUGGUCCUGAGGAACAGCUCUUAUCUAGUGACUGGAGUGAACUGGUGGGAAAACAUCCCUUCUGGGGGAUAACUUGAGUCUGGAUUUCAUAUGAAUGGAAUCAUAUACUGUGUGGUCUUUUGUGACUGGCUUCUUUCAUGUGGCAGUGUUUUCAAGGUAACUAUGGAAAAAACAUCCCCCAACAGUGAGCCUAAGCAAGAGUCCAGUUAAACAACUUUCAAGACACACUCAGAAAACAUUGUGAUGCCUUGUGGAAAUUUACCCUGAGAUUAGAAUCUAAAGGUAUGAGAGUAAUCUUGAAGAAGAAAACGUGAUGAACUUCCAUAGUUGGGAAAAUGGGGAACUUUCCGAGAAGUAGAUUAUGCCAUAAAUCACUGAAUGACAUAUGCCUAUGAUGAUUUUAUGAUGAUUUCAUGUAACCAAUCCCCUACAUAUUGCCUGAGGUUUCUGUCAAUAAACAG
This is a long non-coding RNA of Manis javanica (Malayan pangolin), 780 nucleotides long. RefSeq lists it as uncharacterized. Lineage: Eukaryota; Metazoa; Chordata; Mammalia; Pholidota; Manidae. The record is from RefSeq and is a predicted model, not a curated record.